RNAcentral lists this ribosomal RNA (441 nucleotides) under uncultured bacterium. Its description in RNAcentral is "partial 16S ribosomal RNA". It matches the Rfam family "Bacterial small subunit ribosomal RNA", at positions 338 to 795 of the family's 1533-position model. The record is from RNAcentral.
CCUACGGGAGGCAGCAGUGGGGAAUAUUGCACAAUGGGGGAAACCCUGAUGCAGCGACGCCGCGUGAGUGAAGAAGUAUUUCGGUAUGUAAAGCUCUAUCAGCAGGAACGAGACAAGACGGUACCUGACUAAGAAGCCCCGGCUAACUACGUGCCAGCAGCCGCGGUAAUACGUAGGGGGCAAGCGUUAUCCGGAAUCACUGGGUGGAAAGGGAGCGUAGACGGCUGUGCAAGCCUGAAGUGAAAGGCGGGGGCCCAACCCCUGGACUGCUUUGGGAACUGUACGGCUGGAGUGCAGGAGAGGUAAGUGGAAUUCCUAAUGUAGCGGUGAAAUGCGUAGAUAUUAGGAGGAACACCAGUGGCGAAGGCGGCUUACUGGACUGUAACUGACGUUGAGGCUCGAAAGCGUGGGGAGCAAACAGGAUUAGAUACCCCAGUAGUC